This 500-nucleotide ribosomal RNA is filed under the name uncultured Lachnospiraceae bacterium. Its description in RNAcentral is "partial 16S ribosomal RNA". Lineage: Bacteria; Bacillati; Bacillota; Clostridia; Lachnospirales; Lachnospiraceae. The record is from RNAcentral.
CACGUAGUUAGCCGGGGCUUCUUGGUCAGGUACUGUCAUUUUCUUCCCUGCUGACAGGGCUUUACGCACCGGAGUGCUUCUUCACCCACGCGGCAUUGCCGCAUCAGGGUUCCCCCCAUUGUGCAAUAUUCCCCACUGCUGCCUCCCGCAGGAGUCUGGGCCGUGUCUCAGUCCCAAUGUGGCCGUCCACUCUCUCAAGCCGGCUACUGAUCGUUGUCUUGGUAGGCCGUUACCCUGCCAACUAACUAAUCAGACGCGGGCCCAUCCUGUACCACCGUGGUUUUCCCUGCUGUGCCAUGCGGCACAGCAGGCUUAUGCGGUAUUAGCAGCCAUUUCUGGCUGUUGUCCCCCGGUACAGGGCAGGUUGCCCACGCGUUACUCACCCGUCCGCCACUAGGUUUAUAUAUCUUCCCUCCGGAGAGUUCCGUCAGUACUAAACCCCGUUCGACUUGCAUGUGUUAGGCAUGCCGCCAGCGUUCAUCCUGAGCCAGGAUCAAACU